AGCUCUGUAGUGAUACAAUCAUUUCGAAUUGCAAAUUCGAAGAAGCAGCUUCAAUUCUGCCGGGGCUU
This 68-nucleotide transfer RNA is filed under the name Microgale fotsifotsy (pale shrew tenrec). Its description in RNAcentral is "tRNA-Cys". It matches the Rfam family "tRNA". Rfam says of the family: Transfer RNA (tRNA) molecules are approximately 80 nucleotides in length. Their secondary structure includes four short double-helical elements and three loops (D, anti-codon, and T loops). The record is from RNAcentral. Lineage: Eukaryota; Metazoa; Chordata; Mammalia; Afrosoricida; Tenrecidae.